Molecule: long non-coding RNA, 1213 nt
Filed under: Amphibalanus amphitrite
Lineage: Eukaryota; Metazoa; Arthropoda; Thecostraca; Balanomorpha; Balanidae
Description: uncharacterized LOC122383895, transcript variant X2
Source: RNAcentral
CUGGGAAGUGUCGUGUUUGAAAUACAAACGCUUUUUCACCUUGUUUAUUUCUGUUGUAUUUUACUGGAACCCAUGCUCAUAGAACUCGGUGUCCCUGUAGUAGGCUGUCCACCACGCGGCACUCGGCGUUCAGACCGCACGGCUGGAUGGCCUGGCACGGGUUCACGCACCGGUGGCCCAUGCACGCGUGCCGCGACGGACACUCGGCGUCGGUGGUGCACUCGUGGCGCGGCUCGUCCGGAACUGCGGGCGGCCAGAGGCGGCGUCAGAGACAUUCACCAGCACUGCGUCGGUUCCGGGCCAUCGGCAGUGGAUCCCGGACACGGGUCGACACACUUCUCUCCGACGCACGCCUGGUGACUGGGACAGUCGGAGUGGAUGGUGCACUCCGGUCGGCAGUUGGGCGGGCUGGACAAGUAGCCAGGCAGGCACGAACAGUCGGCGUUCUGCCCGCAGGAUCCCGGACACGGGUCGACACACUUCUCUCCGACGCACGCCUGGUGACUGGGACAGUCGGAGUGGAUGGUGCACUCCGGUCGGCAGUUGGGCGGGCUGGACAAGUAGCCAGGCAGGCACGAACAGGUGCGCCGGAUGCCAAGCCGGAGACAUUCGACUAAGACAAACUUUCGACACACACUGAAGACGACAAAGCACAAGGCAACUAAUUUGGGGUUCAACACUGACAGCAAACAAUGAGAUGGCUAUCAGUAUCGGCGUGAUCUCCCUGGAUGACCCGGCUCGACGACGUCCCUAACCAAUCAACGAAACGCCAGUUCCGUCUUAAUUUGGAUUGGAGCCGACUCUUUCGGCACCCUGCCUUCUGGUAAGUACGCCGAAACUAUCUCUGACAUGAUGGUUACUACAUACAUACGCGAGAGAUCGCCCAUGCCCUUUUCACGGAUCUGGUCGCCAGUAUCAGAACUAGUGCAAACUUCCUCGAGUGAACUAAGACCAGUGCUAGUAUAACCAUGACUUUGUACCACGUUGAGCAGAAACUACCGCUAUGACUCAGUGAUCACUUUGCGCUGUCAAUAGGGCAAGCGCUGCGAGCGUCCCUUCACCUUAGAACCACGUAACCAACCACCAUAUCACAACGUUCUCCCUGCUUGAAGGCAAUGGGAGCUGUCAUUAGCUUUUCCAGAAAAUCAUCUUAGAAUUUACUUUCCUGUUCACUAAUCAGACGGCUAGGUCUGUAAAGGGUUUAUGUCAAUAA